Molecule: long non-coding RNA, 228 nt
Organism: Cyprinus carpio (common carp)
Lineage: Eukaryota; Metazoa; Chordata; Actinopteri; Cypriniformes; Cyprinidae
Exons: 2
Source: RefSeq, a predicted model, not a curated record
CGAAAAUACUGAAAUAAUAGAGUUGCUGUGUUAAAUUUAAUCAGGCAUUUGUUUAGCCAUUUUCUCAACAGAGGUUGAUCCUCACCAUACUGCAGCUACUGAGAAGACCUACCCCGCAUAGAGAUCAACAGGACAUACUGGACGCCUGGUUCCAGAAUUCUGACAGAUUUCAAACACCACUUCAUGAAGAACUUCCCCUAUGGCCUGCUGGAGGUGGCAAGACACAAG